Molecule: long non-coding RNA, 374 nt
Filed under: Mytilus galloprovincialis (Mediterranean mussel)
Lineage: Eukaryota; Metazoa; Mollusca; Bivalvia; Mytilida; Mytilidae
Source: RNAcentral
CAUUUUCCUGGCCUGAUUAUGGACGAAAAGAAUGAAGAGGCUUAUUUUAACAGACACCUUCUUCAUUUUCAUUACUUUGACCUUGAUCUCUCAAAGCUGUUGUUAUAUAAAAUGACCAUAAAUCUUGGUUUAUGACAGCCCAAGAUGACUGAUGUCCUUUGUGCUUUUCUUAGUCUGAAUUGCUCAUCGUAUGUGCCCCAACCGUGUGAUUUAUUUGCUGCAAAACAAAAAUCUCUCAUUUACCUUGGCAGUUCGUGAGCCCAAGAACUUUGUUUCUCUAGCAAAAUACUCAUAUGAAUCAUGAAAGCGCUUGUCCAUGUGUGUAUAUUUGGUAUAGCACGAUAUGGUAAAGACUGAAUCCGUAUGUGACCCCC